This 180-nucleotide ribosomal RNA is filed under the name uncultured bacterium. RNAcentral describes it as "partial 16S ribosomal RNA". It matches the Rfam family "Bacterial small subunit ribosomal RNA", at positions 1322 to 1500 of the family's 1533-position model. The record is from RNAcentral.
GAAGCUGGAAUUGCUAGUAAUGGCAGGUCAGCAUACUGCCGUGAAUACGUUCCCGGGCCCUUGUACACACCGCCCGUCACACCAUGAGAGUUGGAAAUACCCGAAGCCUGUGAGCUAACUGUAAAGAGGCAGCAGUCGAAGGUAGAGCCAAUGAUUGGGGUGAAGUCGUAACAAGGUAUC